AACGAACGCUGGCGGCAUGCCUAACACAUGCAAGUCGAACGAGACCUUCGGGUCUAGUGGCGCACGGGUGCGUAACGCGUGGGAACCUGCCUUUAGGUUCGGAAUAACUCAGAGAAAUUUGAGCUAAUACCGGAUGAUGUCUUCGGACCAAAGAUUUAUCGCCUUUAGAUGGGCCCGCGUUGGAUUAGCUAGUUGGUGGGGUAAAGGCCUACCAAGGCGACGAUCCAUAGCUGGUCUGAGAGGAUGAUCAGCCACACUGGGACUGAGACACGGCCCAGACUCCUACGGGAGGCAGCAGUGGGGAAUAUUGGACAAUGGGCGAAAGCCUGAUCCAGCAAUGCCGCGUGAGUGAUGAAGGCCUUAGGGUUGUAAAGCUCUUUUACCCGAGAUGAGAAGGACAGUAUCGGGAGAAUAAGCUCCGGCUAACUCCGU
This 432-nucleotide ribosomal RNA is filed under the name uncultured bacterium. RNAcentral's name for it is "partial 16S ribosomal RNA". It matches the Rfam family "Bacterial small subunit ribosomal RNA", at positions 29 to 506 of the family's 1533-position model. The record is from RNAcentral.